GUGUAAAGGGCAGGUGUGUGUAGUAUGAAUGUGUGUAAAGGGCAGGUGUGUGUAGUAUGAAUGUGUGUAAAGGGCAGGUGUGUGUAGUAUCAGGUGUGUGUAAAGGGCAGGUGUGUGUAGUAUGAAUGUGUGUAAAGGGCAGGUGUGUGUAGUAUGAAUGUGUGUAAAGGGCAGGUGUGUGUAGUAUGAAUGUGUGUAAAGGGCAGGUGUGUGUAGUGUGAAUGUGUGUAAAGGGCAGGUGUGUGUAGUAUGAAUGUGUGUAAAGGGCAGGUGUGUGUAGUAUGAAUGUGUGUAAAGGGCAGGUGUGUGAAGUGUG
This is a long non-coding RNA of Pseudoliparis swirei, 316 nucleotides long. RefSeq lists it as uncharacterized. Lineage: Eukaryota; Metazoa; Chordata; Actinopteri; Perciformes; Liparidae. The transcript has 3 exons. The record is from RefSeq and is a predicted model, not a curated record.